This 465-nucleotide ribosomal RNA is filed under the name uncultured bacterium. RNAcentral describes it as "bacterial SSU rRNA". It matches the Rfam family "Bacterial small subunit ribosomal RNA", at positions 338 to 795 of the family's 1533-position model. The record is from RNAcentral.
CCUACGGGGGGCUGCAGUAGGGAAUCUUCCGCAAUGGACGAAAGUCUGACGGAGCAACGCCGCGUGAGCGAAGAAGGUCUUCGGAUCGUAAAGCUCUGUUGUUAGGGAAGAACAAGUACGGGAGGAAAUGACCGUACCUUGACGGUACCUGACGAGGAAGCCACGGCUAACUACGGGCCAGCAGCCGCGGUAAUACGUAGUUGGCAAGCGUUGUCCGGCAUUAUUGGGCGUAACGCGCGCGCAGGCGGUGUUUUAAGUCUGAGGUGAAAUCUUGCGGCUCAACCGCAAGCGGUCAUUGGAAACUGGGGGACGUGAGGGCAGAAGAGGGAAGCGGAAUGCCACGUGGAGCGGUGAAAUGCGUAGAGAUGUGGAGGAACACCAGUGGCGAAGGCGGCUUGCUGGUCUGUAACUGACGCUGAGGCGCGAAAGCGUGGGGAGCAAGCAGGAUUAGAUACCCUAGUAGUC